Molecule: non-coding RNA, 875 nt
Organism: Procambarus clarkii (red swamp crayfish)
Lineage: Eukaryota; Metazoa; Arthropoda; Malacostraca; Decapoda; Cambaridae
Source: RefSeq, a predicted model, not a curated record
AGUGUUGUUUUGCCUCACUUUUGGUAUACAGUUCAGCUUCGUCUCUUGAAGAUUCUCCUGGACUCGUGGUUGGGUUAAGUGGCCAUAAUGCUCCGUGUGGCACUACAGCAGACCCAGACUGGCCUGUGACGCUCCUCCACCGUACUUGUAUCAUGCGAGGCUAACCCUUAACGUCUGGCCUUCAACUUUAAAAAUUCAGUUAAAAUGAAUCAGCCUACACUACUGGUGUGGGUGUCGGGCCGACGGCUCCAUGGUGGUAUUAGUCUCCUGAGCAAAAAGUUGCCAAAAAACUGUCUCCUUUCGCCGAAGCACUUCUUCAAAGAAAGCGUCUCUACAGUUCUCCAAAGUUAUAAAUUAACUGAAGGUGAUCAUACUGAAUACUUCAUACCCAAGACUUCUACAAAUUAGGCAUUCAGGCAACAUCACCUUGACAAGGUAACUGAGGAAAGGAUAGAACGACAAAUCUGAGAAUCUGUACGCUGGUACAACAUGGUCACUCUCAAUUAUGGACAAAGGUGGUGGUCGCCGGAGAGAAUCGGUAAUAGCGGGAAUCCGUCUUUGAUACAAAAGUCUAUAGAUACCGAAUGGAAUCAGUUGAGCAGCGAAGUUGCAGAAUCGGUAAAGUGAUAAUGUUAACGUGAGACUUUAGAUAUGUGUAGCAAACUGUUGAGCUAAAACGGUCAAAUACUGUUCUUUAUUACCCGUUUUUGCACUAACAUGAUAAAAAUGUUAUUGUUGACAAAGGUUAAUGUCUGAGAAUCUUCCCCACUUGAGUUAGGCAAGUCCCAGCUGUGUCUGGGUAAAAGUGACAAGAUGAACCCAGCGGGUUUUUCUUCCUAUUAAGAUUGUUGUACAUGCUGCUAUGGCGGUGUGUC